CGCGGUACGAAAAUUCCUAAUAAAAUGGCGGCGAAAUAUAAAUAUGGAAACAAGGCGCGCAAAUUGUGUUGAAAACUCUGAACGAAAUAUGUUAUCGUAAUCGAAAAAAAUGUAAAAAUACUCUAAUGUAUUAUAGUGUACGCAUUAGGGUGGACCGAAUGCUAUAGAAAAUACGAAAAAACUACUUAAAUCCGGAAAUUAAUCUCCGGAACGUAAUAUUCCAGAAAAAUAUCAACGGUUUCUUAAUUAAUUCUAUGCGUAUAAAAUGAGGUACGAUUGAAAACUCGCGAACUGACCAAAUAAUCGAGGAGGGUGUGGGUUUUCUAUUUAUGCGGAAAAUGGGUCGUGAAAUUCGGUGAGAGAAAAAGUGUUUAAAAUAAGAAACGACGUUCUGGAUCCGAAAUUUUUAGAAACCAUUGGUUUUAUCAUAAUUCCGGAAUUCUACAAUAUAUUUCUGGAAUUCGAUUAUUAUCGCCCGGAAAGUUGCUGACCCGAAUAUUACGUUCUGGAUUUUAAAAUUCCGGGUGUUCAUCAACCCGGAUGAUUACAUUCCGGAAAAUUAUGGUCUCCAGAAAAAAAACAAAUGUUUCAAACGCGAGCGGCCAAUUAAGGUGGACAACAAGAUUUUCACGUAAUGUGCGUAAGGUCAGUCAAAUUCGACGGUAUUGUUGUUACGCCUGCACGAAUAGCUGCGCGUACAGGUCGGAUCGGUCGAAAUCGACGUUGAAGUGCUCCUAGGGAGCCGUCGUAAACGAAAACGCCGACAGCGCGCACGGGAAUAAUUACGUUCAGACCACAAAAAAAUCAUUGACCAACGGUAAUUAUCAACCGAUUACGAGUACACAACUGUUUAUGUAUCU
Molecule: non-coding RNA, 860 nt
Organism: Cinara cedri
Lineage: Eukaryota; Metazoa; Arthropoda; Insecta; Hemiptera; Aphididae
Source: the annotation of a GenBank genome assembly